CACCCCCAACCCCCCUACAGAUUUUCAGACAGUGGUGGUUUCACUGAAAGCCCAUAGUGCAGCAGUUAAAGCUGGUAAAAUGGUGUUUUACCUUCUUUAGUGACUCAUUUGACAAAUCUUGAGAGUAAGUUCACCUGAAUAUUUUCCAGCCAUUAGUUUUUGCUUCUCCUGUUUGAUUCAGUGUUGCUGACUAGAGUUCUGGAGGUCCUGCCGGCAUGUGGUGGUUUUAAUGAGCAGAAUUAUGUUUAAACUUGUCAAGCGAAAAGGACUUCCUGCAGCCGGUAGCUCUCCCUAAGAGGUGAUCUAGUCACAUUUCAGCAGACUUUGAUGUGGUUGCAUAACAAAGGAUUCUGUUAGGAGUUGAAUCAAAUCCAUUUCAGUCUUUGUUUGAGUCUUGGUAAACUUUUUUAGUCGUGACAAUUAGUUUUUUAUUUUUAUAGUAUCGUGACAGUAUUCCUGCAAUGAUGUUCAUUUAAAAUUGUUCUGGUAUCAACAGACUUUUUUUUGCAAAGCUAAAAACCAAGAUUUGGUUGUCCAUUAGUUCACAGCAUUUUGACUACUUCAGUGGCUAUUCCUGUAAAAAUGAUUAAAGUGGACACUCCUUUUUUUUUUUCAAUAAAUGUUCUGUGGUCUAGUUUUAACAAAUGGCUUGAGAUGUGAUGCCUUGUGGCACUCCUGUUUCAGGAAGUAGAAGUGAGGGUGGAAUGCAGCAGGAUUUAAAGUCCAGGGGCCUCAUUUAUCAAGCUUGCUUACGCACAAAACGGGGUCGGAAAACUGCGUAAGCAACUUUCCACGCAAACUUUGGGAUUAAUGAAAGAAAACUUAGCGGAAAAAUGUGCGCAACUUUAAGUUGACUUUGGCCUAGUCCACAUGUAGCCGUUUUUUUUUAUAAACGAAUAUCCGCCCCUCCAAAAACUUGCAUCCACACCACCUCGUUUAAAGAAAAAAACUGUCCACACGUACCCGGAUAAAUAUGUUGUUAAGGACAUGCCAGACCUGUAGGCGGCAGUACUUCCCCCGUUCUUAACCUCGUCCUUCGUCUGUGGUCUUCCGCAAGGAGCAGUAAUUCUGCUUGCAAAAACAAACAAGCAAAAAGCGCUUGGACAAUUGAUAAAGCGAGAGCAGCUCUGAGGGCAUCCAUGAUGUCGGCUAGUGUAAACACAGGUCGCACACGUGAUGUCAGCAUUUUUUGUCGCGGAAAGUGACGUUGCAGACCUUAAAACUCCGCUUUUGUCUGUCCACACGCAGACACCCAAAACGGAGAAAACGCCGAUCUUCACUUUGGCCGGAGUUUUUAAAAAGAUCAGUUUUCGUGUGAAAAAACUCUGUUUUCGUGUGGAUGACAGGCCAAAACACAGAAAAAUAUCUAUGUUUUGGCAGAUCCCCGGCUACAUGUAGACAGGGCCUAAGGACCUGGCUUAUGCACAUGUUGGACACGGAGAGCACCUGCAGUGCUGCUGCUGAGGUUAAAAUUAUGAAAUCCUGCAGCAUUAUCACUUGUACUGCUUCGUUUUCACACAGAACAAGACCCCCCACAUGCACACACACACACACACACACACACACACACACACACACACACACACACACAGCCUGAAGCGCAGAAUACGGAAUGCAGAAUAUCAGCAGGGGGACAGAUUGAGACAGAAUGGCAUGCGUCUGUGACAUAGACUGUACAUAUACUGGACAAACGGAUUCCAUUGGCUUCAAUAACACGUUUGUUGUCUAUAAUGGGAGGUGGCCACCACCGCCAUUUUGACCGUGUCACAGGUUCCGUCCAGCCCAGACAAUUCCAUAAAAGGGAAGAGAGGAGGCGCUGAGGGUGUGGCUGUAAGGCUGGGCUCGAGUGACGACACCCAGGCGAACUAGCUACGAGCUAACCUGAAGCUAACCCUGGCUAACCCAAAGCUAAAGCGGAGGUGGGAGCCGAGCUAACGGAUGUAGCCACCUAGCUUCAACCCAACCGGAGCUAACUGGAACACCCAUCGACCUGAACCUUACACGGAGUUUAGGUGGAGGUUUUCUGCGCCUGUUCGUGAGAAGUACCUGUAUUAAAAAAGUUUUAAAUCGAUCUGUUUAAAUGUCACCAUGGCAGCCUGUGUGUCUCCAACAUCAGCUACACAAAGCAGCAAGUGUAAGUUCCACAUACCUGUCUCACCACUUCAUGUAUGGUUUUGUACUUUAAACAAUUAUGACAAACCUGUUAUUUUUUCUCCAUAGCCAUUUGGAUCAUUGGAGACAGCUGAGUGAGGCGUGGUGCCCAGAGAGCUGCAGAGACAACCUUGGCCUCCCUGACGUCUGUGUCUCCUGGUUCGGUUGGGGUGGACCAUCGACAUACAUACAUGUGCCGACACUUUGCGCCCUGUUUUAUAAAAUGUAGUGUUAAAAAUAAAUGUUUUUGCUCAA
Non-coding RNA from Nothobranchius furzeri (turquoise killifish), 2406 nucleotides. Lineage: Eukaryota; Metazoa; Chordata; Actinopteri; Cyprinodontiformes; Nothobranchiidae. The record is from RefSeq and is a predicted model, not a curated record.